Molecule: ribosomal RNA, 186 nt
Filed under: Nuphar lutea
Lineage: Eukaryota; Viridiplantae; Streptophyta; Magnoliopsida; Nymphaeales; Nymphaeaceae
Description: partial 28S ribosomal RNA
Rfam family: Eukaryotic large subunit ribosomal RNA
Source: RNAcentral
ACUGCCGACCGACCUUGAUCUUCUGAGAAGGGUUCGAGUGGGAGUAUGCCUKUCGGGACCCNNAAGAUGGUKAACUAUGCCUGAGCGAGGUGAAGCCAGAGGAAACUCUGGUGGAGGCCCGNAGCGAUACUGACGUGCAAAUCGUUCGUCUGACUUGGGUAUAGGGGCGAAAGACUAAUCGAACCG